RNAcentral lists this ribosomal RNA (257 nucleotides) under uncultured bacterium. RNAcentral describes it as "partial 16S ribosomal RNA". It matches the Rfam family "Bacterial small subunit ribosomal RNA", at positions 524 to 776 of the family's 1533-position model. The record is from RNAcentral.
UACGUAGGGGGGCAAGCGUUGUCCGGAUUUAUUGGGCGUAAAAGAGCGUGUAGGCGGCUAUACAGGUCAGCUGUGAAAACUCGAGGCUCAACCUCGAGACGUCGGUUGAAACCGUAUGGCUAGAGUCCGGAAGAGGAGAGUGGAAUUCCCGGUGUGAGCGGUGAAAUGCGCAGAUAUCGGGAAGAACACCUAUGGCGAAGGCAGCCUCUCUGGGCCGUAACUGACGCUGAGGAGCGAAAGCAUGGGGAGCGAACAGG